This 561-nucleotide long non-coding RNA is filed under the name Manihot esculenta (cassava). RNAcentral's name for it is "long non-coding RNA (MESC_LNC008747)". Lineage: Eukaryota; Viridiplantae; Streptophyta; Magnoliopsida; Malpighiales; Euphorbiaceae. The record is from RNAcentral.
UGAUCAGAAGAUGAUCCGCUGGUUUGGAGGUUGCCCCUUUUAUAGUUGAAGAAAUCUCUCCUUUUAGGGUUUUGAAAUCCCUUUUUGGUUUGGCUUGUGAUUCCUCUUUUGAUGUUGAAUUUGAUUGCAACUGGAAUUCCUUAAGUGAGAAACUCUUUCGUGGCUCUUGGAAUUGAUUUGGUAGUGAUUGAGUUGGAUUUGGACUUCUGAAAACUUGAAAUUCGGUUUCCAGCUGUUUUCCCGCCUCUGCUGUCAAGUUCUGCUGUCAAGGUGAUUUGCCCAGUUUUCUGUGAGUGAUUUGGGCAAAUCACCGGGCAAAUCGCUCUCUGGGAUUCAGUCCAGUUUCUGUCUCUGUAGUUCUGCUGUCAAGGUGAUUUGCCCAGUUUUCUUCGAGUGAUUUGGGCAAAUCACUUUUGCUGUCAUUUUCUGCACUUUUUCUCCAACUCUUCAAUUUCUUCCUUUUCUAUAAAAACAUAACAAAAACACAAUUUAAGCUAGAAAAAUAUGUAAAUAAACAGUAAAUAAUAUAUUAAAAACAUGGCUAAAUUAUGCUUGAUCACC